UCUCUUUUUUUCAAAAUUUCAGUAGAAUUUCAGCAUAUUUUGGAAAUUGGUUUUUCAAAUACAUGCAAUUAUCUUUCUCAGUCCUCACAUUGACUUUCUUUUUCUCAACUGUUUCCCUAUUAUUAGAUAAAUCGGUCCACAUGUAAAUCCGAAGCAAAUGAAUGCACAAGUAGCAAGUAGGAUGCAUCAAGAUGGUCUUUUUAUUUCUGGUACACCUGCCCUAGACAGACCCAACCCUUGUGUUGAGUCUCCAAAUUCAAAUGCACAUGAUGAAAACAAAUGUUCCUACUAGAGAUCUGGCAUGAGGUUGAGUUAUUCUAGGUAUAAAAUCUGGGUAUUCUAUUCUAGACUUGUGCACUCGAGCGGACAACUCAAGCUGAGGAGGGGGCUAUGUACU
RNAcentral lists this long non-coding RNA (397 nucleotides) under Nicotiana benthamiana. Its description in RNAcentral is "long non-coding RNA (NBEN_LNC034096)". The record is from RNAcentral. Lineage: Eukaryota; Viridiplantae; Streptophyta; Magnoliopsida; Solanales; Solanaceae.